Molecule: unclassified non-coding RNA, 302 nt
Filed under: uncultured Sordariomycetes
Lineage: Eukaryota; Fungi; Ascomycota; Sordariomycetes
Description: sequence contains ITS1
Rfam family: 5.8S ribosomal RNA (bases 1-105)
Source: RNAcentral
GAAAUGCGAUAAGUAAUGCGAAUUGCAGAUUUCAGUGAAUCAUCGAAUCUUUGAACGCACAUUGCGCCCACCAGCACUCUGGCGGGCAUGCCUGUUCGAGCGUCAUUUCAACCAUCAAGCCCCCGGGCUUGCGUUGGGGACCUGCGGCUGCCCGCAGGCCCUGAAAACCAGUGGCGGGCUCGCUGUCACCCCGGUCGCAGUUGUAUCAUCUCGUCCAGGGCUUGGCUGCGGGCUCCGGCCGUUAAACCUUCUCAUACCCAAAGGUUGACCUCGGACCAGGUCGGAAUACCCGCCGAACUUAA